Molecule: long non-coding RNA, 497 nt
Organism: Hibiscus syriacus
Lineage: Eukaryota; Viridiplantae; Streptophyta; Magnoliopsida; Malvales; Malvaceae
Exons: 3
Source: RefSeq, a predicted model, not a curated record
UGUCGGCCUUUCCAUCGCUGAGAUGAUGACUAAGGUCUAUGCCAAGGUUAGUGGAGAACCUUCGCUGGAGUCGCCAACAGUUGAUGUCAGCUCCAAGGAAUUUUAUGGCGAGGGUUACGAUGACAGCGACAAGAGAACUCCAGACAUGACCAUAAUAAAUAAACAACUUGGUUGGAACCCGAAGACAUCCUGUGGGACUUGCUUGAAUCUACCCUAACCUAUCAACACAGGACUUAUGCCGAGGCUAUUAAGAAAUCCAAUGCUAAACCUAGUGCAUACUAAGGAGACUAAAUGUCUACGAAGGAUUCGCCGAAUGUGCUUAUUGGAAAAUGUUUUCGUUCGUUCGUUCGUUCGUUUAAAUAUAUCAUAAUGUUGAUUUACAUCCUGCCUUUUUUGUCUUCCCUGUGUUGGUAGUCGAUAGCCAACUGUAGCUCAGGCAGCUAUGUUACGAGCACGGUAUUACAUGGGAAUGGUAAUGUAUCGGUAAUAUGAUUAUU